GACGAACGCUGGCGGCGUGCCUAACACAUGCAAGUCGAGCGAACAGACGAGGAGUUUGCUCCUCUGACGUUAGCGGCGGACGGGUGAGUAACAUGUGGAUAACCUACCUAUCAGACUGGGAUAACUUCGGGAAACCGGAGCUAAUACCGGAUAAUAUAUUGAACCGCAUGGUUCAAUAGUGAAAGACGGUUUUGCUGUCACUAAUAGAUGGAUACGCGCCGCAUUAGCUAGUUGGUAAGGUAACGGCUUACCAAGGCAAGGAUGCGUAGCCGACCUGAGAGGGUGGUCGGCCACACUGGAAGUGAGACACGGUCCAGACUCCUGCGGGAGGCAGCAGUAGGGAAUCUUCCGCAAUGGGGGAGAGCCUGACAGAGCAACGCCGCGUGAGUGAUGAUGGUCUUCGGAUCGUAAAGCUCUGUUAUUAGGGGAGAACAAAUGUGUAAUUAACUAUGCACGUAUUGACGGUACCUGGUCAAAAAGCCACGGCUAACUACGUG
RNAcentral lists this ribosomal RNA (497 nucleotides) under uncultured bacterium. RNAcentral's name for it is "partial 16S ribosomal RNA". It matches the Rfam family "Bacterial small subunit ribosomal RNA", at positions 28 to 507 of the family's 1533-position model. The record is from RNAcentral.